GAUGAACGCUGGCGGCGUGCCUAAUACAUGCAAGUCGAGCGAACGGACGAGAAGCUUGCUUCUCUGAUGUUAGCGGCGGACGGGUGAGUAACACGUGGAUAACCUACCUAUAAGACUGGGAUAACUUCGGGAAACCGGAGCUAAUACCGGAUAAUAUUUUGAACCGCAUGGUUCAAAAGUAAAAGACGGUCUUGCUGUCACUUAUAGAUGGAUCCGCGCUGCAUUAGCUAGUUGGUAAGGUAACGGCUUACCAAGGCAACGAUGCAUAGCCGACCUGAGAGGAUGAUCGGCCACACUGGAACUGAGACACGGUCCAGACUCCUACGGGAGGCAGCAGUAGGGAAUCUUCCGCAAUGGGCGAAAGCCUGACGGAGCAACGCCGCGUGAGUGAUGAAGGUCUUCGGAUCGUAAAACUCUGUUAUUAGGGAAGAACAGAUGUGUAAGUAACUGUGCACAUCUUGACGGUACCUAAUCAGAAAGCCACGGCUAACUACGUG
This 497-nucleotide ribosomal RNA is filed under the name uncultured bacterium. RNAcentral describes it as "partial 16S ribosomal RNA". It matches the Rfam family "Bacterial small subunit ribosomal RNA", at positions 28 to 507 of the family's 1533-position model. The record is from RNAcentral.